GCUGGGCAUGGUGGUUCAUGCCUGUAAUCCCAGCACUUUGGGAGGCCGAGGCGGGUGGAUCACCUGAGGUCAGGAGUUCAAGACCAGCCUGGCCAACAUGGUGAAACCCCGUCUCUA
Non-coding RNA from Pan troglodytes (chimpanzee), 117 nucleotides. It matches the Rfam family "Metazoan signal recognition particle RNA". From Rfam's summary of the family: The signal recognition particle (SRP) is a universally conserved ribonucleoprotein. It is involved in the co-translational targeting of proteins to membranes. NCBI's taxonomy places the organism in Eukaryota, Metazoa, Chordata, Mammalia, Primates, Hominidae. The record is from Rfam.